RNAcentral lists this ribosomal RNA (440 nucleotides) under uncultured bacterium. RNAcentral's name for it is "bacterial SSU rRNA". It matches the Rfam family "Bacterial small subunit ribosomal RNA", at positions 338 to 795 of the family's 1533-position model. The record is from RNAcentral.
CCUACGGGGGGCAGCAGUGGGGAAUAUUGCACAAUGGGGGAAACCCUGAUGCAGCGACGCCGCGUGAGUGAAGAAGUAUCUCGGUACGUAAAGCUCUAUCAGCAGGGAAGAAAAUGACGGUACCUGACUAAGAAGCCCCGGCUAACUACGUGCCAGCAGCCGCGGUAAUACGUAGGGGGCAAGCGUUAUCCGGAUUUACUGGGUGUAAAGGGAGCGUAGACGGCAGCACAAGUCUGGAGUGAAAUCCCGGGGCUUAACCCCGGAACUGCUUUGGAAACUGUGCGGCUGGAGUGCAGGAGGGGUAAGCGGAAUUCCUAGUGUAGCGGUGAAAUGCGUAGAUAUUAGGAGGAACACCGGUGGCGAAGGCGGCUUACUGGACUGUAACUGACGUUGAGGCUCGAAAGCGUGGGGAGCAAACAGGAUUAGAUACCCUUGUAGUC